AUACUUACCUGGCGUAGGGGACACCGUAAUCAUGAAGGCGGUUCCCCCAGAGAGAGAGGCCCUUCCACUGCACUGCGGUUGGGUCGACCUCUGUGAGUAACUGUAAUGCGUACAACUCGUACGCAUUUUUUGCACUGGGGACUGCGUUCGCGCGGUCCCCUU
Molecule: small nuclear RNA, 162 nt
Organism: Pararge aegeria (speckled wood butterfly)
Lineage: Eukaryota; Metazoa; Arthropoda; Insecta; Lepidoptera; Nymphalidae
Product: U1 spliceosomal RNA
Exons: 1
Source: RefSeq, a predicted model, not a curated record